This 200-nucleotide unclassified non-coding RNA is filed under the name uncultured Endogonomycetes. RNAcentral describes it as "sequence contains ITS2". The record is from RNAcentral. Lineage: Eukaryota; Fungi; Mucoromycota; Endogonomycetes.
UGAACAUCUCAAAAUCAAAUUUUUGAUUUUGGAAUUUGGGCCGUUGUGUUGUGUUUUCUUACCCAACUGGCCUGAAAUUUGUGUUAUAAAUAAUGCAAGAAAUGUGUGGAUGCUUUGUUGGUUAAGACGAAAAGCUAAUUAGUUGACUGUGGUCAAACUUGCUGACUAGUCUUUCAAAACUUGGCAGAUCUACAUUCACA